This 468-nucleotide ribosomal RNA is filed under the name uncultured bacterium. RNAcentral's name for it is "partial 16S ribosomal RNA". It matches the Rfam family "Bacterial small subunit ribosomal RNA", at positions 28 to 507 of the family's 1533-position model. The record is from RNAcentral.
GACGAACGCUGGCGGCGUGCUUAACACAUGCGAGUCGAACGGAAAGGCCCUGCUUUUGUGGGGUGCUCGAGCGGCGAACGGGUGAGUAACACGUGAGUAACCUGCCCUUGACUUUGGGAUAACUUCAGGAAACUGGGGCUAAUACCGGAUAGGAGCUCCUGCUGCAUGGUGGGGGUUGGAAAGUUUCGGCGGUUGGGGAUGGACUCGCGGCUUAUCAGCUUGUUGGUGGGGUAGUGGCUUACCAAGGCUUUGACGGGUAGCCAGCCUGAGAGGGUGACCGGCCACAUUGGGACUGAGAUACGGCCCAGACUCCUACGGGAGGCAGCAGUGGGGAAUAUUGCACAAUGGGCGGAAGCCUGAUGCAGCAACGCCGCGUGCGGGAUGACGGCCUUCGGGUUGUAAACCGCUUUCGCCUGUGACGAAGCGUGAGUGACGGUAAUGGGUAAAGAAGCACCGGCUAACUACGUG